UCGGUCGCUGUCUGGUCUAUACAGGCGUUUUCCUAGCUUUUGUACACGUAAGACUUCUCUGACCAGCAGGAGGAGAAGCAGUUCGGACGUUUGCUGUAAAUUAGUUGAAAAGAAGCGAAGUGCGCAAUGUAGGUCGCGGUCUGAUAAGGCUUUUCUCAAAGUUUUGUACACGUAAGACUUCUCUGGCCAGCAGGAGGAGAAGCAGUUCGAAAGCUUGCUGUAAAUCAGUUGAAAAGAAGCGAAGUGCGCAAUGUCGUUCGCGGUCUGAUAAUGCCUUUCUCAAAGUUUUGUACACGUAAGACUUCUCUGACCAUCAGGAGGAGAAGCAGUAUGUAGGUCUGUAAAUGAGUUGAAAAGAGGAAUGUGUCACGAAGCUGCCAACAUGAUAGUAUUUGUGAGCCGUGUCGCCCUGAGUACUGAGGUAGCUCACGUUCUCCCGACAGAUUUGCUCAACAAACGCCAUGUUUACCGAGUAGUUUGUGCCGGAGCUCUGCUCUUGUGGACAUACCGUUUCAUUAAAUAUGUAUCUUCGUUGGUAACUACGUGGGACAUUCACUUUCAACGCAUGUGCCUUAAGAUCUGAUUGUAAGGGUCUUAAGGCUACUGUGUAUUGUAUACUGCAAGAACAGAGUUUCUUGUUUGGGAGAAGGGAAAUAUUUUUUGUUUUCUGAAGUGAGCUGCUUUGAGCCACGGUCCCCUUAGCGAGUGUAGGUUUCAUACUUAGCCUUUUAAGUACUCCCAGAGUGAAGUGGAAUAGUAGGUUUUUUCAGGUUAAAGCGCGCAUGGUCAAAAUCGUUUCUUGUAUUUCAAAAUCUGUUCUUGGAUGCCAUCGGCGUCCUCCACAAGAUCCAAGACCGGAUCUUGAAAUACAAGAAACCUUUUCCACCGUGCGCACACACUCUUUGUCUUCGUAAGCACCAGCGCUUGGAUUUACACCAUCGGCUGCACCAUUUUCUUCGGCUGCCGACUGCCGGGUAUUCUACGAUGCUUCUUACUUUGAAAAGGUAAAACGGAAGAGCUCCUGCAAACUGCGUGGGAACGUCGAUUAGCGUGCAACUACACCGGACCGGAAUGUCCUCGCUGCGUCCUGCGGGUCCGUCGUGAGGUUUUCUGACACCCCCCCCCCUCCCUCAUGGACUUUAAGGCUGCUGCUUGUAUACUGCAAGAACAUAGUAUCUUGCGUCGUCUUUAUUCGUUUUAAGACAUCUGCGUUGAGCCACGAUGCUAUGGGCGAGCAUAAUUUUAACGCUGAGCUAUAAUACUUAGCAUGUUCAGUGCUCCCGGAGUGGAGCGGCAUAGUUGGUGGUUAUAUGAAGAUGGAGUGCACUCCGUCCACACUGUGUCUUCGUAAGCAGCGGCCGCCGGAUUUACACCACCGACUGCUUUGUCUUCUGCCACUGCUGGGUGGUGUCCACAUGACGCUUCUUACUUUGAAGAGGUGGAAGGGAAGAGCUCGUGCAAACUGCAUGAGAACGUCGAGUAGCGUGCAACUACCCCGGACUGGAGCGUCCCUCGCUGCGGCCUGCGAGUUCGUCGCGAGGU
Frankliniella occidentalis (western flower thrips) is the source of this 1542-nucleotide long non-coding RNA. RefSeq lists it as uncharacterized. The record is from RefSeq and is a predicted model, not a curated record. Lineage: Eukaryota; Metazoa; Arthropoda; Insecta; Thysanoptera; Thripidae. The transcript has 4 exons.